This 246-nucleotide ribosomal RNA is filed under the name uncultured soil bacterium. RNAcentral describes it as "partial 16S ribosomal RNA". It matches the Rfam family "Bacterial small subunit ribosomal RNA", at positions 26 to 278 of the family's 1533-position model. The record is from RNAcentral.
AGGACGAACGCUGGCGGCGUGCUUAACACAUGCAAGUCGAGCGGUAAGGCCUUUCGGGGUACACGAGCGGCGAACGGGUGAGUAACACGUGGGUGAUCUGCCCUGCACUUCGGGAUAAGCCUGGGAAACUGGGUCUAAUACCGGAUAUGACCUCCUAUCGCAUGGUGGUGGUGGAAAGAUUUAUCGGUGCAGGAUGGGCCCGCGGCCUAUCAGCUUGUUGGUGGGUAAUGGCCUACCAAGGCGACG